UACGGAGGGUGCAAGCGUUAUCCGGAUUCACUGGGUUUAAAGGGUGCGUAGGUGGGCUGGUAAGUCAGUGGUGAAAUCUCCAGGCUUAACUUGGAAACUGCCAUUGAUACUAUUAGUCUUGAAUACCGUGGAGGUCAGCGGAAUAUGUCAUGUAGCGGUGAAAUGCUUAGAUAUGACAUAGAAUACCCAUUGCGAAGGCAGCUAACUACGCGAUAAUUGACGCUGAUGCACGAAAGCGUGGGGAUCAAACAGG
Molecule: ribosomal RNA, 253 nt
Filed under: uncultured bacterium
Lineage: Bacteria
Description: partial 16S ribosomal RNA
Rfam family: Bacterial small subunit ribosomal RNA
Source: RNAcentral